GGGCUCGUAGUGUAGCGGUUAACACAUCUUCCUGUCACGAAGAAAACCGCCGGUUCGAAUCCGGUCGAGCCCG
RNAcentral lists this transfer RNA (73 nucleotides) under Candidatus Gottesmanbacteria bacterium. RNAcentral describes it as "tRNA-Asp". It matches the Rfam family "tRNA". Rfam says of the family: Transfer RNA (tRNA) molecules are approximately 80 nucleotides in length. Their secondary structure includes four short double-helical elements and three loops (D, anti-codon, and T loops). The record is from RNAcentral. Lineage: Bacteria; Candidatus Gottesmaniibacteriota.